This 466-nucleotide ribosomal RNA is filed under the name uncultured bacterium. RNAcentral's name for it is "partial 16S ribosomal RNA". It matches the Rfam family "Bacterial small subunit ribosomal RNA", at positions 28 to 507 of the family's 1533-position model. The record is from RNAcentral.
GACGAACGCUGGCGGCGCGCCUAACACAUGCAAGUCGAACGAGCGAGAGAGAGCUUGCUUUCUCGAGCGAGUGGCGAACGGGUGAGUAACGCGUGAGGAACCUGCCUCAAAGAGGGGGACAACAGUUGGAAACGACUGCUAAUACCGCAUAAGCCCACGGCUCGGCAUCGAGCAGGGGGAAAAGGAGCAAUCCGCGUUGAGAUGGCCUCGCGUCCGAUUAGCUAGUUGGUGAGGUAACGGCCCACCAAGGCGACGAUCGGCAGCCGGACCGAGAGGUUGAGCGGCCACAUUGGGACUGAGACACGGCCCAGACUCCUACGGGAGGCAGCAGUGGGGAAUAUUGCACAAUGGGGGAAACCCUGAUGCAGCGACGCCGGGUGGAGGAAGAAGGUCUUCGGAUUGUAAACUCCUGUUGUUGGGGAAGAUAAUGACGGUACCCAACAAGGAAGGGACGGCUAACUACGUG